GGCCCUACGGGGUGCACCAGGCGAGAAAACUUUGCAAUGUGCGAAAGCACGACAAGGUUAAUCCGAGUGGUUUCUGCUAAAGGAACCUUUUGUUAGUCCUAGAAACACUAACGAAUAAGGGGUGGGCAAGUUCUGGUGUCAGCCGCCGCGGUGAAACCAGCACCUCAAGUGGUCAGGAUGAUUAUUGGGCCUAAAGCAUCCGUAGCCGGCUUUGUAAGUUUUCGGUUAAAUCUGUACGCUCAACGUACAGGCUGCCGGGAAUACUGCAGAGCUAGGGAGUGGGAGAGGUAGACGGUACUCGGUAGGAAGGGGUAAAAUCCUUUGAUCUAUUGAUGACCACCUGUGGCGAAGGCGGUCUACCAGAACACGUCCGACGGUGAGGGAUGAAAGCUGGGGGAGCAAACCGGAUUAGAUACCCGGGUAGUCCCAGCUGUAAACUAUGCAAACUCAGUGAUGCAUUGGCUUGUGGCCAAUGCAGUGCUGCAGGGAAGCCGUUAAGUUUGCCGCCUGGGAAGUACGUACGCAAGUAUGAAACUUAAAGGAAUUGGCGGGGGAGCAC
Molecule: ribosomal RNA, 559 nt
Filed under: uncultured Nitrosopumilales archaeon
Lineage: Archaea; Thermoproteati; Nitrososphaerota; Nitrososphaeria; Nitrosopumilales
Description: bacterial SSU rRNA
Rfam family: Archaeal small subunit ribosomal RNA
Source: RNAcentral